GCCCCGAGUUCACUUUCGUCUUUCCUUUCACUCCCCUCCAUCUCUCUCUCUCUCUCUCUCUCCAUUCUCUCUGCAACCCCAUCGGUGAAUCUGCAAUUCAAAACCCUCUCUCUCAUCACCACCACUGAACAAAAGGACUAAGUUUGGCUCGGGUUUAGGGUUCUAGGGUUUCCUUUCCCCUUCGAUUUAGGAUUGGUUGAAGUAGACUAGGAAGAAGGUUUUGUUUGCUUCUUUGGAGAAGAUUUAGGAAGUUGGCCAGGUUGAUGAGCUGAAAGUGGAGAAGUGAACCAAUGCAAGAUUUAUUUGACGAAACAUGGAUUGAGGAUGAUUGGGAACAAAGACACUCUCGUUGGGUGCAUUAAAGAGCAUCUAGACUUUCUCAAAGGUGGUGGAGAGAAGUACACCCAAAAUCCAGAUUUGUAUUGAACUGCAAAGAAUUAAUUGCUUUCGGCGAUGGAACACAAGUCAUUCCAGAACCAAGCGGCAUGGACAUUUUGUUUGGCUGAUGAGAAAAACAAUGCAGUAUCAAAUUUUGUCAGAUUUCACUCAAAUGUUUUUGGUGGCUGUGUGGAGAUGAUGGUAGCAGUAGCUGCCAUAUCCUUUUUUGCUGGGGUUAUUAUAAUUUUUGUAAUCAUCCUCCAUUUCUUCGAUACAUAUGUCUCUCAGCGCUAUCGGAGCAGACACAGAGCCAUCGUACGUCCAUUUAGGGUUGUUGCACCAACACAAGUGAACUUGAGUCAUGAGUCACCCAGAACAGGCCUUGAGCCAAUUAGGGCUGUUGUACCAGCACAUGAGAACUUGAUUCACGAGUCAGCCAGUAGUGGCUUUGAUCAAUCGAUCAUAGACUUGCUUCCAAAAUUUGUUUACAAAGCGAGCCCCCGGCACUGGCUAGGCGACGGUGGUGAGGCUGUGGAGUGCACGGUUUGCCAAAUCACCGUAGUGGAAGGAAACAGAGUUAGGCUUCUAAAUUGUAUGCACUUGUUCCAUGUAGAUUGCAUCGAUCGGUGGCUGAGAUUGAGGUCCACUUGUCCCAAUUGUCGUGCGGAGCCUAGGCCACAGAAUUGGACAGUGAUAGCUCCACCGUGGCUAGAGGAAAUGGCUUCAGAUGGAUGAGGUGGAUCAGCUUCUGCAAUAAUUUGAUGUUGAAAUAUUAGGAGGACCUGACUAGGUGUGUAGGUUGAGUUGGGUACGAGUUCCAAAUAACAAAGAUUGGUGGGGUGUUUAAAUGUAGUGGGAGAUCUAUCUUUUGGCUUGCGUUUAGAGUAGAUAUUAGAAUAGUGACUAGCUAAGGGGAUAUUUUUUUUUUGAGAACAAAGUAAAGGUUUAUGAUCAAAUACUUAAUGUUCAACUCGGGGCUAUAAAUUUGGAGGAAUCCAUUACUCUUGUAGACUUUGAUGAACAA
This is a long non-coding RNA of Camellia sinensis, 1402 nucleotides long. RefSeq lists it as uncharacterized. NCBI's taxonomy places the organism in Eukaryota, Viridiplantae, Streptophyta, Magnoliopsida, Ericales, Theaceae. The record is from RefSeq and is a predicted model, not a curated record.